This 925-nucleotide ribosomal RNA is filed under the name uncultured bacterium. RNAcentral's name for it is "bacterial SSU rRNA". It matches the Rfam family "Bacterial small subunit ribosomal RNA", at positions 475 to 1399 of the family's 1533-position model. The record is from RNAcentral.
GUACCAUACGAAUAAGGAUCGGCUAACUCCGUGCCAGCAGCCGCGGUAAUACGUAGGGGGCAAGCGUUAUCCGGAUUUACUGGGUGUAAAGGGAGCGUAGACGGCUGUGCAAGUCUGAAGUGAAAGGCAUGGGCUCAACCUGUGGACUGCUUUGGAAGCUGUGCAGCUAGAGUGUCGGAGAGGUAAGUGGAAUUCCUAGUGUAGCAGUGAAAUGCGUAGAUAUCGAGAGGAACACUCGUGGCGAAGGCGGGUUCCUGGACAUUAACUGACGCUGAGGCACGAAGGCCAGGGGAGCGAAAGGGAUUAGAUACCCCUGUAGUCCUGGCAGUAAACGGUGCACGCUUGGUGUGCGGGGAAUCGACCCCCUGCGUGCCGGAGCUAACGCGUUAAGCGUGCCGCCUGGGGAGUACGGUCGCAAGAUUAAAACUCAAAGAAAUUGACGGGGACCCGCACAAGCGGUGGAGUAUGUGGCUUAAUUCGAUGCAACGCGAAGAACCUUACCUGGGCUUGACAUGUAAUGAACAACAUGUGAAAGCAUGCGACUCUUCGGAGGCGUUACACAGGUGCUGCAUGGCCGUCGUCAGCUCGUGUCGUGAGAUGUUUGGUUAAGUCCAGCAACGAGCGCAACCCCUGUUGCCAGUUACCAGCACGUGAAGGUGGGGACUCUGGCGAGACUGCCCAGAUCAACUGGGAGGAAGGUGGGGACGACGUCAGGUCAGUAUGGCCCUUAUGCCCAGGGCUGCACACGUACUACAAUGCCCAGUACAGAGGGGGCCGAAGCCGCGAGGCGGAGGAAAUCCUAAAAACUGGGCCCAGUUCGGACUGUAGGCUGCAACCCGCCUACACGAAGCCGGAAUCGCUAGUAAUGGCGCAUCAGCUACGGCGCCGUGAAUACGUUCCCGGGUCUUGUACACACCGCCCGUCA